This 1513-nucleotide long non-coding RNA is filed under the name Capra hircus (goat). RNAcentral describes it as "lncRNA (ENSCHIG00010007563.1)". Lineage: Eukaryota; Metazoa; Chordata; Mammalia; Artiodactyla; Bovidae. The record is from RNAcentral.
AUGAUGAAUGCUUUUGAUAUAUUAAUGACAGUUAUUUUUCUUUUUAUACAGAACUGGAGUAUUACAAGUACUGAUCAGCAUCUUGCUUUUUUCCCCCCAGCUUUAUGUUUGGGAGAAUUUUCCGUAUCCCUACCUACAGAUAUGUAUCCUCAUUUGUUUUUAAUGGUGGUUCUCCGUUUUGACAUAUUUAUUCACGUGUUUCCGGCAGGGCUGGGUCUGGUUGCCGUGCGGGCUUCUCCCCAGGUGUGGUGCUCGGGGUCCUCCUCACUGCAGGGCUGCUCCUGUUGCAGGCCACGGGCUCUAAGGCUGGCAGCUCCAGCAGUGAUGGCUCACAGGCUCAGCAGGUGCAGCUUCUGGGCUCUAAAGCACAGGCUCAAAAGCUGCGGCGCACUCGCUCAGUUGCUCUGUGGCCUGCAGGAUCUUCUUGAUCAGGGAUGGAACCUGUGUCUCCUGGAGGCGUUGGCAGGUGGAUUCUUUACCACUGAGCCACCAGGGAAACCUCAGUAUACUCCCCUUUUUGUACGGAUGUAUAAUAUUCCAUUGUAAGGAUCACCAAAGCUUAUUUAAUUAGUUCACUCUGGUUGGCUGGAUUGUCCCCCCAAAAUUUUUUUUUUCACAAACAAUAGCAUUCUACAUACCCAAAAGAAUAAUCUUUAAAAUUUUCAAAUUUAAGUAAACAGGGACAUUGACAUUUUAGGAGAGAUACUGGCCAUGAACUAACCAAUUGGGUUUUAUGUGUAUGUUCCAGUUAAAUAUUAGCCCUGAAAAAUCUUUUUGUAUAUAAUCAAAUAUAUCUGCAGAUUGUGGAAUCUAUAGAAUCCACAGAUAUAGUCUCAGAAACAGAAUUGCUGGACUAACUGCCGAACUGUCCUUCAUAGGAGUUAUGCCAAUUUAUAUUCUCACUGGAUCUUUUUUUUUAUACAACCUUGUCAACAGAGUGUUAUCAAACUUUUGCCAAUCAGAUAGCCGAAAAAUAAUAUUUCAGGAUACUUUUAAUUUUCAUGUUUCUUAAUAUGAAUGAGGUGAAACUGAACAACUUUUCAUAUGUGUAAGAGACAUUUGUGGGCUUUUUUUUUCUAGUGGAAAAAUGUUUAUCCCCUUUGCCUAUCAUCCUAUGUUAUUCUAUAGGCUGAUAUCUUUUAUUUUUUUUCUUGAUUUGCAGGAGCUCUGAUGCAAUAGGGAGAUGAACUUAUUGUUCAGGAUUCGAGUUACAAUCUCUGCCCCUCAGUUAACCAAGUAUCUUUUGACUUUACUUCUGGUGUUUUCAUUCCACACUGAUUCUUUUUCCCUUUACAACUUCUUGAUUUUAAGUCAAAAUCAGAAAGCCUUCUCCUACUCCAAGAUUGUAAUAGAGCUCUCCAAUGUGUUCAUUUAAUAGGAGUAAAGUUCUCACAUUUAAUUCUAUGAUCUACUUGGAAUUUCUCCUGCUGCCAGCUGGGAGGUAUGAAUCUAACUAUGCUUUCAAACUGUGGUGCUGGAGAAGAGUCUUGAGAGUCCCUUGGACUACAAGGAG